GCCUCAAGUGAUGUGUGACU
RNAcentral lists this ribosomal RNA (20 nucleotides) under Anopheles vagus. Its description in RNAcentral is "partial 28S ribosomal RNA". The record is from RNAcentral. Lineage: Eukaryota; Metazoa; Arthropoda; Insecta; Diptera; Culicidae.